AAGAGUUUACAUUGAUUAUUUGCAUAGAUGAUGAACAGAAAGGGAAUUGAUUAAAGAAAUAAUCAAUAAAUUAAAGUUCAACCAAAAUGCUAAUCUUAAAUAAUUAAAAUAGACAAGAUUUGUAUGCUUCAAAUAACUCAUAAAUAGCGCCAUUCAACUCUCGAUGAUUCAACUCUUUUCCCUCCCUUUUUUUUAAUAAACCAACACAUGUUUCAAUCCAAUUCAUGGUUUUGCCCAACUCGUCAGCCGGCUAAUUAGUAGUUUAAUUAUUAGUUUUAUAUUAAUUAAUAACACCAUCUAAUAAUCUUGUUUAAUAAUGGAAUCACCAGUUUUCCCUAUUAAUUUUAACCGAAUGGUAACUGUUUUGUCCGAGUCUGAGGUUAUUCCAGUGUUUUAUUGUGUCGAUUUGGACCUUAAAGCUUCCAAAAAUAGUUUACUCAAAGCCAAUAUUUGAUACAUUUUUAUGGUUAAAACAUGGCUUUUGCAAAUACAUCUUAUCAAAGGUUUGGUUAAAUGUUCAAUACACCUCUAAUGGCUAAACAAAGAUUCAUAAUGUGGUCCAUGUUAGAAGAGAAAAUUAAGUUGAAUUGAUUUGUGGAUUGUUUUCUGUAAAGCCUCACAUUUCAUAUUCAUAAGUCGACCAAGGUGUGAUUGAGUUAAUAACCAGGAAUCCAACUGUUUGAUCAGACGGCAGGAAAAAAAGACAUCAAAAGAUCAAUCAAAUGGACUUGAACCUCCUUUCAUCAUCAUCAUACCUUGAUGUGAAACCAUUAUGCUGAUGGUCUGACUGUGGCAACUUCAUUUCAACUUGGAGAUGAAGAACAGAGAAAGUGAGAGAAGAAGGAAAAGUUUCCUCAUGUUCAUCAUGUUUUUGAUGAGCACAACUUGAGAUAAAGUUGAAGAUGAGAAAGGAAGGAAGGAAGGAAAAGAAAGAGAAGAUAAGGUGUUAUAAAGUGUUGAUAAACCUUCAUCUCACCUUCAUUUUACUCAUCCUCUUUUUUGGUCUCAAAAAAAUCAUUACACUUUCCUACCUUUGCUCAUCAUGAGCAUCACCUGAACCUCACUGAGCAUCAUUCAGUUAUCUUUUAAUCAUCUUAAAAACAUUAUUAUUCUGUGUAAAGAAAUUUCCACUUUUCACUCCUUUUCUCUCUUCUUCUUCCUUCUCGUCUUUUCAUUUCAAUUUCAAUUUUGAUAACUCAUCAUGAUGACUUUACUCAUUCUCAUUCCCAGAAUGUUGAGCUAAUCUUACCUUUUCAACCAUUAUCGAUCCCCUGAUCAUGGUAAUGAUGGAAAACAUUAGCAGCAAAUCAAUACUCAUCACUUUCCUCAAACCCUUACUUUGAAAAUUAUUUUAAAAUAUUAUUGAUUAUUUAUUCUUUUCUAUUCAUUUUUCCUCCUUUUUUCUGGUUUAUUUUGGGUUAAACAUUUAUUUAAUGUUAACCAAAUGAUCAGCAAAAACAAGACAAUUUUCACUAACCAAAUUGCUAUUCAACUCAACAAUUAGCCAAACAUUUAUCAAACUGAAAGACAACAAAAAAGUGAACACACAAAUAUCAAUCAAUUAAUACACAAUCAGAUCGAUGAAAAUGUCACAACAAAUGUUUGUAUUUACAGUGAACACACAAUUUAUCAAAUUUCCACCAACAACUACCAACAUUGUUAACCUUAUUAUCAAUUUUUAUCAUUUAUUUCAUUUCAUUCCAUGAACAUCCUUUUUCCGUUUUCGGUGGUUACCAAAGGAUUUAACCAGUUAAUGUAUACAGUUAAUAAUGGUUAAAGUCAAUGUUUAACCAUUUGAUUCAUUUUUCAUUUUUUCAAUGU
Long non-coding RNA from Tetranychus urticae (two-spotted spider mite), 1821 nucleotides. RefSeq lists it as uncharacterized. The record is from RefSeq and is a predicted model, not a curated record. NCBI's taxonomy places the organism in Eukaryota, Metazoa, Arthropoda, Arachnida, Trombidiformes, Tetranychidae.